GGCAGAAUCCAGUGUCAGAUGACAGGAUAAGAAGGUCCUUUACUCAGUGCUGCAUCUAGGAGGAAUUCUUACUGUCUUUUGUCUUACAUACUGACAGCUCGCUGAGGUGAAUGACUUUGUCUGUUUGGCUGAUCACUGUGACCCCAAUGUUUGCACAGUUGAUACCAGGUUACAAAAUCACCCAGGAGACACCCUCCUGGCCGUGCCUGCACAGAUAUUUCCAGAGAAGUUUAACUGAGGAAGGAAGACAUCCCGAAUGCAAGUGGCACCCAUCCCACAGGCUAGAGUCUGAAUGAAAAAGGCAACAGAGAAAGAUAGCUGAACACCAGCAUUCAUCUCUGGCUGCUCCCUGGUCCACCCAGAGGAAGCAGCUUCCUGUUCCUGCCACCACGCCUUCCCCAUCCUGAUGAAUAGUGUCCUUCUCAAACUGUAAGCCAGUUCCUUUGAGUCAGUAUGUUGUCAUAGCAACCAGAGAACCAAGUAGAACUGACAGGUUGUCACAAGACACACAGGAAAGGAGAUGGAAUAGAGAAUGGGCUAAGCAGAGCAGCUUGUAAGAAUUCAGGAUAAUGGGGCUCCCCAGUCCCCCAACAAACAACACUCACGUUUUUUUCUCACAGCAUGGUUAUGACACUCUAAGAUAAAACGUAUCCACAUACAAAUGAGAACUACCUUUUAUUAAGUGGUAAGAGGAGUUUUAACCUCAAGAUACAGCUAGGAAAUGAACUGACACGUGAACAUUAGGAUUGGUUAUCUUGAAGUCAUAGGAAAAAUACAUAUAUAUAUAUAUAUAUACAUAUACAUAUCACAAAAA
RNAcentral lists this long non-coding RNA (814 nucleotides) under Mus musculus (house mouse). RNAcentral describes it as "predicted gene, 39167". Lineage: Eukaryota; Metazoa; Chordata; Mammalia; Rodentia; Muridae. The record is from RNAcentral.